This 843-nucleotide ribosomal RNA is filed under the name Cantharellus anzutake. Its description in RNAcentral is "partial large subunit ribosomal RNA". It matches the Rfam family "Eukaryotic large subunit ribosomal RNA", at positions 82 to 938 of the family's 3401-position model. Lineage: Eukaryota; Fungi; Basidiomycota; Agaricomycetes; Cantharellales; Hydnaceae. The record is from RNAcentral.
AGUAACUGCGAGUGAAGAGGGAAGAGCUCAUCAUUGGAAUCUGGCAGUGUUGCACUGUCCGAGUUGUAGAUGAGGAGUAGUCCGUCUGGACUGCAUGGCGUCCAAGUACAAUAGGCCGUCAGUGGGACAUCAUAGAGGGUGACAAUCCCGUCCUUGACGCCAAUGUGCAAGUCUAUUACGAUGGCUAUCUCAGAGAGUCGAGCAGUUUGGGAUUUGCUGCUUAAACAUGGGAGGUAGAUUCCUUCUAAAGCUAAAUACAGGCGAGAGACCGAUAGAGAACAAGUACCGCAAGGGAAAGAUGAAAUAGCACUCUGUGAAGGGAGUCAAAAGGCGUGAAAUUGUUGCGAGAGAAGCGAUUCAAGUCAGCGUAGCUAGGCCCAUCAAGCGUCUUCGCUUUGGACUAGCUUUGCCAGCGGUCUUGUCCCUUGAAGAGACUUGACUUGUAAUAUGUCCAGCCUGGCGUGCACAGGCAGCCCCUUCUGGGGGCCAGUGGCAUGGCUGGUGGAAUGGCUUGCAAUCGACCCGUCUUGAAACACGGACCAAGGAGUCUAACAUGUAUGCGAGUAUAAGGGUGGCAAACCCGUAUGCGCAAUGAAAGUGAUUUUCGGUGAUUGAGAAUGGCCUGAUGACCAGACAAGCAAUAUAUGUCCCUCGUACGGCCAUUGCCCAAGUUCCGUGGUAGAUCCCACGAACAUGGAGUUGGAGCAUACAUGCUAGGACCCGAAAGAUGGUGAACUAUGCCUGGACAAAGCGAAGCCAAAGGAAACUCUGGUGGAGGCUUGUAGCGAUUCUGACGUGCAAAUCGAUCGUCUGAUCUGGGUAUAGGGGCGAAAGACUAAUCGA